ACUGUUUAUUAAAAACACAGCACUCUGCAAACACGAAAGUGGACGUAUAGGGUGUGAUGCCUGCCCGGUGCUGGAAGGUUAAUUGAUGGGGUUAGCGUAAGCGAAGCUCUUGAUCGAAGCCCCAGUAAACGGCGGCCGUAACUAUAACGGUCCUAAGGUAGCGAAAUUCCUUGUCGGGUAAGUUCCGACCUGCACGAAUGGCAUAAUGAUGGCAGCGCUGUCUCCAGCAGAGACUCAGUGAAAUCGAAAUCGCAGUGAAGAUGCUGUGUACCCGCGGCUAGACGGAUAGACCCCGUGAACCUUUACUACAGCUUUACAUUGAACUUUGACCUAACUUGUGUAGGAUAGGUGGGAGGCUUUGAAGUAGGGACGCCAGUUCCUAUGGAGCCAACCUUGAAAUACCACCCUGGUUAUGUUGGGGUUCUAACUUAGAUAUAACAGUAUCAAGGACAAUGUAUGGUGGGUAGUUUGACUGGGGCGGUCUCCUCCUAAAGAGUAACGGAGGAGUACGAAGGUGCGCUCAGAACGGUCGGAAAUCGUUCAAAGAGUAUAAAGGCAAAAGCGCGCUUAACUGCGAGACCCACAAGUCGAGCAGGUACGAAAGUAGGUCUUAGUGAUCCGGUGGUUCUGUAUGGAAGGGCCAUCGCUCAACGGAUAAAAGGUACUCUGGGGAUAACAGGCUGAUACCGCCCAAGAGUUCAUAUCGACGGCGGUGUUUGGCACCUCGAUGUCGGCUCAUCUCAUCCUGGGGCUGAAGCAGGUCCCAAGGGUAUGGCUGUUCGCCAUUUAAAGAGGUACGCGAGCUGGGUUUAGAACGUCGUGAGACAGUUCGGUCCCUAUCUACCGUGGGCGUUGGAAAUUUGAGAGGAUCUGCUCCUAGUACGAGAGGACCAGAGUGGACGAACCUCUG
This 910-nucleotide ribosomal RNA is filed under the name Moraxella catarrhalis. Its description in RNAcentral is "bacterial LSU rRNA". It matches the Rfam family "Bacterial large subunit ribosomal RNA", at positions 1799 to 2711 of the family's 2925-position model. Lineage: Bacteria; Pseudomonadati; Pseudomonadota; Gammaproteobacteria; Moraxellales; Moraxellaceae. The record is from RNAcentral.